GCCUGUCUGGCUCAGUCGGAGGAGCGUGUGGCUCUUGAUCUCGAGGUCGUGAGUUCAAUCCUCAUGUUGGAUG
This 73-nucleotide transfer RNA is filed under the name Felis catus (domestic cat). It matches the Rfam family "tRNA". From Rfam's summary of the family: Transfer RNA (tRNA) molecules are approximately 80 nucleotides in length. Their secondary structure includes four short double-helical elements and three loops (D, anti-codon, and T loops). Further hydrogen bonds mediate the characteristic L-shaped molecular structure. tRNAs have two regions of fundamental functional importance: the anti-codon, which is responsible for specific mRNA codon recognition, and the 3' end, to which the tRNAs corresponding amino acid is attached (by aminoacyl-tRNA synthetases). tRNAs cope with the degeneracy of the genetic code in two manners: having more than one tRNA (with a specific anti-codon) for a particular amino acid; and 'wobble' base-pairing, i.e. permitting non-standard base-pairing at the 3rd anti-codon position. Lineage: Eukaryota; Metazoa; Chordata; Mammalia; Carnivora; Felidae. The record is from Rfam by way of RNAcentral.